This is a non-coding RNA of Miniopterus natalensis, 2574 nucleotides long. NCBI's taxonomy places the organism in Eukaryota, Metazoa, Chordata, Mammalia, Chiroptera, Miniopteridae. The record is from RefSeq and is a predicted model, not a curated record.
CGAGUGGAUUUCCACGCGGAAAGGAUGUUGGCGGCCCCGGUGACACGGCUUGGACCCACCUUCCCGCGUGAUCUUUUGACCAGAAAGGAAUUAAAAAGAUACCCCCAUGAUGGCCAUACCUGUCAGCUGCAUGGAGCUUCAUCCAAGGAUUUUCUGAGCUGUAUGGAUUUACAGUGAUGUUCAGCUGCCUGGAAAUAACACUGGUGGAAGCCCUCCCUGGAAUUACACACAUUUCUGGAUGCUGAAGGUGGAUUUGAGGAAGGCCCCGGUUGUGAGCUUCAUGGAUUCCUGCAGCCCGGAUGCCCGAGGGGGACGGAGGACCACAGCUGCCUGAAUUCUGAUCUUGAACAGGAAUGUUUGGUUGGGUCUCUCCAGCUCCCUGUGGGGCUCCCUAGGAAAUAAUCCUGUUAUGCCUGGGAUUUAGGUGCCUUUGAUCUGAGAACACACCUAUCCAUUCAACACUCCAGAGGGACCUGAGCACAGGCCUUCCCUGAACAGCAGCUGCAGUAUCUUGAGAUUUGGAGAAUGGAGUACGUCAGUCCCUGGCAGCGGUGGCUUCUGUCUCCAAGCAGUGUGCCCGUUAAGUUGGAACCGGUCUCUUCCUGCAAGUCAGAACAGUUGAAUGCCAUCUCAGGCUGAAUGGCUGCUUUCCUGCUACAAUGGAGGAGCUGAGUACUGAGAGAAACGUAAGGCCUUCAACACCUAAGACACACUCUCUGACUUUUUACCAUAAAUCCCCGUGGCUCCUGCUCUGAAUGCCAAGUCGGCCCUGUCCGCAGAAAGACUGAAUAACAUGCUCCCAGAGUCCUAAGCCCCAAGGAGAGGGACGCCCAGAACCACUGAAGGCUGAAUGCACCAAGACUCAAACGACACCAGUCCAUGAAGCCUUCAUCCAUCAGUCAUUGUUCAGCUUGCCCUCCUUCUGGAGCCCUUGCCUCUUGGUGCCCUUGGCCCGGCACUUCUCAAGGCCUCUGUAGACUCGGGGGCCUCUGGCCACACCUGCCUCUCCUUGUAGAAUGUGGGAAGUUCAAGAGCAAAGACUGUGGCAUCCUUUACCGGCCUCUUCAGCAGCAGCAAGACUGAAUCUGGAAACCGUCCUACGAAGUGCCAAGCUCCCUCCAAGACCCAGCGGUGGUGUGAAGACUCGCAUUGGUUUGAAUCCCAGCUCUGCCACUUGCGGGCUGGGGGACUUUGGGAGAAUUAUUAGCUUCUCUAUACCUCAGUUUUCCCAUCUGUACAGUGGGACUAAUAAUGUGAAUUUUUAAUGAAAUAAAUCACCCAAAGCCCUUUCAACAGUGCGAAGCACGUGGAAAACACUCAAGAAAUGCCAGCGAUGUUUUUGGUAUGAUUAUCACUCUUGUCAUUACCUCACUACUGCUGCACACACCAGCCAUACCAAAUUACUUGUUGACAGUUUUGAUGGUCUUGCAGGUGUCUUUGCUUUUACACUUGAUAUUCCUUCUGCUUAGAAGUUCCUCUUUCUCAUCUACUCAUUCAUUCAUACUUAGCCCUUCAUUUAUUUAACAAAGUUUUUGCUGAGCUCAUAAAGAUUCAACCUGUAUAUUCAGCUCAGUCAGCCCUUGCUGGCCAUUCCCACUGGAUUUCCCACUCCUGUUUCAAAGGCCCACUUACUCUUCUGUAUCUCUGUGAACUUGAGAGCAGUAAAGGUGCCCCUUUCCCCACAGGGUUUACUACUUUGAACCCAGUUCCUAAUGUCAUGGCUGGAACAUAGUAUGAGCUUAAUAAAUGUUUGCUGAAUGAAUACGUGAAUGUUGCUCAUUUUGGAAUCUGUCCCCAGUGCCUAGUACAUUGUAGGUACUCACCCAGGACACUUUCACUUGCGUGAAACCAAAUCACUCUGAAUUCAUAUCACCUAAAGGUCUGGUUAGGGGAAGGCCACUUUUAAGGCAUAUCUGCAUUUUGCCUCUUUCCGAACCAGAAGGCUUUCCCUGGUCCUGUUUUCACCUAAAGGUCUGGUUAGGGGAAGGCCACUUUUAAGGCAUAUCUGCAUUUUGCCUCUUUCCGAACCAGAAGGCUUUCCCUGGUCCUGUUUUCACCUAAAGGUCUGGUUAGGGGAAGGCCACUUUUAAGGCAUAUCUGCAUUUUGCCUCUUUCCGAACCAGAAGGCUUUCCCUGGUCCUGUUUGACGAAGUUUAAAAUGACAGCAGGGGUUGUUCUCUGAAGGUGCACCUGUGUUCCUUGGGCCACGCCCAGGGUCAUCAAGAACUGCUCAACUCCAUGUUUGCUGACGCACUUCAGAGUGUGUCUCAUGGUCUCUUGGAACCCCCGUGCCUAAAGCAGUGCCUGGAAACCGAGGAGGGAGGAAGAGGAGGGAAGGAAGCAAGGAAGGGGCCCUUCUUCACUGGCCAGUAUCUUAGAGAGGACAAUCUGGAGUCAAAACAUUGUCCCACUAGUCUACUGGGGUGGAUGGCAACAUGUGGCCAAAACAGUCCCUUAGGCCCUUCUUUCGUGUGUUGGAUUUUUUUGGCAGCUGAGCUCUGGUCUUGCUUAGCAAGGUGGCUCUAGAGCGUGAUCUACCCUCUUUCUGUCUCAUCUUCUGCAGUUGUUUGGUUU